GAUGAACGCUGGCGGCGUGCCUAAUACAUGCAAGUCGAGCGAACAGACGAGGAGCUUGCUCCUCUGACGUUAGCGGCGGACGGGUGAGUAACACGUGGAUAACCUACCUAUAAGACUGGGAUAACUUCGGGAAACCGGAGCUAAUACCGGAUAAUAUAUUGAACCGCAUGGUUCAAUAGUGAAAGACGGUUUUGCUGUCACUUAUAGAUGGAUCCGCGCCGCAUUAGCUAGUUGGUAAGGUAACGGCUUACCAAGGCAACGAUGCGUAGCCGACCUGAGAGGGUGAUCGGCCACACUGGAACUGAGACACGGUCCAAACUCCUACGGGAGGCAGCAGUAGGGAACCUUCCGCAAUGGGCGAAAGCCUGCCGGAGCAACGCCGCGUGAGUGAUGAAGGUCUCCGGAUCGUAAAACUCUGUUAUUAGGGAAGAACAAAUGUGUAAGUACCGAUGCACGUCUUGACGGUACCUAAUCAGAAAGCCACGGCUAACUACUU
Molecule: ribosomal RNA, 496 nt
Filed under: uncultured bacterium
Lineage: Bacteria
Description: partial 16S ribosomal RNA
Rfam family: Bacterial small subunit ribosomal RNA
Source: RNAcentral